AAUGAACGUUGGCGGCGUGGAUUAGGCAUGCAAGUCGCGCGAUAAGCGUAGCAAUACGUGGAAAGCGGCGAAAGGGAGAGUAAUGCAUGGUUAGCUACCCUCGGGACUGGGAUAGCGGCGGGAAACUGCCGGUAAUACCAGAUGAUGUCUUCGGACCAAACGUGUGAAUCGGCCCGAGGAGGUGACCAUGUCCUAUCAGCUAGUUGGCGGUGUAACGGACCACCAAGGCAAAGACGGGUAUGGGGCGUGAGAGCGUGCCCCCACUCACUGGGACUGAGAACUGCCCAGACACCUACGGGUGGCUGCAGUCGAGAAUCUUCGGCAAUGGGCGCAAGCCUGACCGAGCGACGCCGCGUGCGGGAUGAAGGCCUUCGGGUUGUAAACCGCUGUCGUAGGGGAGGAAGGUCUUGCGAAGAGCAAGGCUUGACCGAUCCUAGGAGGAAGGGCCGGCUAAUCUCGUGCCAGCAGCCGCAGUAACAC
Molecule: ribosomal RNA, 480 nt
Filed under: uncultured bacterium
Lineage: Bacteria
Description: bacterial SSU rRNA
Rfam family: Bacterial small subunit ribosomal RNA
Source: RNAcentral